UCCCUGGCUGUCUAGCAGUUAAGACUCUGAACUUCUCCUGCAGAGGGCGCAGGUUCAAUUCCUGGUCAGGGAA
Molecule: transfer RNA, 73 nt
Filed under: Capra hircus (goat)
Lineage: Eukaryota; Metazoa; Chordata; Mammalia; Artiodactyla; Bovidae
Also listed under: 1 other name
Rfam family: tRNA
About the family: Transfer RNA (tRNA) molecules are approximately 80 nucleotides in length. Their secondary structure includes four short double-helical elements and three loops (D, anti-codon, and T loops).
Source: Rfam by way of RNAcentral